Long non-coding RNA from Catharus ustulatus (Swainson's thrush), 1809 nucleotides. RefSeq lists it as uncharacterized. The record is from RefSeq and is a predicted model, not a curated record. The transcript has 4 exons. Lineage: Eukaryota; Metazoa; Chordata; Aves; Passeriformes; Turdidae.
GAAAUUGAUAAUUUUCUUUGAAAUCAGAAAUUGAUUGUUUCUAUGUAAUGAAAAAAUUGAAUUAUUGAAAAUUGAUUAUUUGUUUGUUUUCUUUUUUCUCUUUUUCUUUCCCUUAUCUUUUUCCUGUUUUUCUAUUCUGUCCACCUUCCUGUCUCUGUUUUUCCGGGAUAUGCUACCAACUCGGACGAGUCCUGAAGACUUCGGAACAACACCACGAAGAAGCACUACUGACAAUGACCAUGAGAUACGGGAUGGUGUAAAGGUCGGUCUGCAGAUUGCCUGAUCUGCCUCACAACCAUCGAAAUGACUCUGGGACCCUGGGACCACACCACUCGCUUUGGACAGGAGUUGCUGUACUGUCACAGUACGCUGCGUUCAAGCAGGACAAAGGCUGCUAACUUCUCUUGCCAUUUUUCCUACCAAGAUAAAUAACAGGAGCAGCUAAGGUAAAAACAUAGACAAAUGUGGCAGUUCCUGCUCCCCAACGUCCAGGCCGGGAGAAAGGAGACACAGUGGUCUUGCCACCGGGAUUGCUUCACCGCACAGCGUGUGUGCCGCUUUUCCCACGUGACCACCGGCACUGGAUUUACAUGAUCUUUUUCAAAACCACAGUCUUUUGAAGACAAGAGCAUGACAAAAAGACUGACAAGAAAACCUCACAAAAGUCUUAAGGAAUGUCUUUAUAUUUUUUAUUUGAUUAAUUUCCCAGAAAAGAGCUCGUCACUUUGCUGGAGGGAAGGUGUGGUAGCCAUCCUUAACCCACAUGAAUUAGGGCUUCUGUUAAAUGGGUGCCGCUGGCAUGGUGCCAAUGUGGCCACCUCCAAUGUGCACCUCACCUUUGGUAAAUGGUUCCUGGCCAGGUUAUCUGACAGAUCCAUUUGUCAGGUUGUGCUGGAUUAAUUGUGGGCUCUGAUCCUCAGUCCUAUGAAAUAUGUUAGGAUGAUGUGCAUGUGUUAUCUUGCUAAUUACAGUAAUUUCAUGAUUAUAAGCCGCACCUGAUUGUAAGCCGCACUUCCGGGUGUCAGCAACGUUUCGUUCUUUGUCCAUAUAUAAACUGCACCGGAUUAUAAGCCGCACUUUCGUUCGCAGUGAAGUAACCAAUUUUUAACAAUCACGCAAUUGCGGGUUUUACUGGCAGGUGCUCAAUUCGUGAACUCCGCUCCCCCUGCGGUGCCGGCGGGAGCCCCCGCUUUACCCCCAGUAUAAUGUAGCCACAAAGUAGGCAAGUAACAAGGAGCAAAUUUCUGGAGACAAGGCAGCACAUCAGAUCAAGGUCAGAUAAAAAAUGGAGCUGAGCUACUGCCAGUUGCUUUGUCAAGACCAGAAAGGGGAACUGAAGCCAGUUUUCUUGAAGCCAUCAGAGCUUGUGUUGACGAAGAAAGCCACAGAAGCUGAAAAGAGGUCAGGGAGCAAUGCAUGUUGGAGCCAGGACAGGGGAGUAACAGCAUCAAGCACCUGAAGAGGAAGACAAAGAACAAUGGCAAUGUGGGAUUCCUCCAGCAUCUUCCCAGUCACAGGAGCAUGUCUGCUGUCAUUGCACCAAGAGCUGCACAACUUGAAGACAGAUUUUUGUACCAUUAUAAUUAAAACUCUUAUACACAGACAGUAGUUAGAUAAUCUAGUUCAUCACUUAUAUGUAGUUUGGAAGGGUGCUCAUCAUAGCUAUGUAGAACUGUUUCCACAGCUAAGCCUUACUGAAAAGAGGCAAUGUAACACUUACAGUGAAGCGUCGUGUUCAGUUCUACUUAAGGGACUUACAGUAAUUUCACAAUUAUAAGCUGCACCUGAUUAUAAGCCACACUUCUGGGU